UACGAAGGGGGCUAGCGUUGCUCGGAAUCACUGGGCGUAAAGCGCACGUAGGCGGCUUUCUAAGUCAGGGGUGAAAUCCUGGAGCUCACCUCCAGAACUGCCCUUGAUACUGGAGAGCUCGAGUCCGGGAGAGGUGAGUGGAACUGCGAGUGUAGAGGUGAAAGUCGUAGAUAUUCGCAAGAAGACCAGUGGCGAAGGCGGCUCACUGGCCCGGUACUGACGCUGAGGUGCGAAAGCGUGGGGAGCAAACAGG
Molecule: ribosomal RNA, 253 nt
Filed under: uncultured bacterium
Lineage: Bacteria
Description: partial 16S ribosomal RNA
Rfam family: Bacterial small subunit ribosomal RNA
Source: RNAcentral